GUGUGUUUUCAAUUUGGACAUCUCCGAACUUCGUAUAUAUGUUACAGAUGCUGUCAACCAGUACCAGUUGUGGGCGGAGCUGUCCUUGGCUACACGGGGGCAAACCUCAUUAUUACUCCUGGUAUCAAACUGGAAAAUGAUAACCUCUAGACACUGGAGUCAAUUUACAGGCCUUCUGAGCCCUUGGCUGGUCUCUGAAACUUUCUUUGACAUCUUCUGAUACACCCAAACUUCCAGAAUAGGCGUUUCUUCCUCCCUGCUUUCAAGCAAGUAGAGACUGUUCCAUCCUGAUUACAAGAGCAUCCAGCUUGACCCUGCUGAUCCUGAGUCAGCACUCUGCACUGCUCUGCUCUUUCCACACCAAAACUCUCUGUCUGGUCUCCACAUCCAGCGACAGUGCUGAACUUUUGCUUCAUACAACGUUUCGAGUAAGUAAAAGCACCCAUUACAUAGUUGGCACUCGCAUAUUUGCACCUUUUCUUUCAUAUGAGAUCCAAGGUUUCAUUUGUAGACUCUUUGUGCCCUCUCUCCAUGAUAUUUCAUACUGUCGACGUCCAGCUGGUUGAAUUUCUCUUCAGGUUUUCCGUGUUAUCUCUCUUAUAGAUUUCUGUGUUACUCUAACAUUCGUUUCCAUUACCAAGAUAACACUACAGGGCUGUCUUUUUGACCAUACAGGUGGACCUUGUUUUGUAGCGAUUUGCUUUGUUGUGCCUCUCAGGUAUUUUGUUUUUGACAAGUUAAAGGUUUCGGGCAACUAUGCAUUGGGCACAUCUAUUGGCACCGCUUUUCCGAGAGUGUUUGCUUACUUCGUGUCUCUGUGUCUCAUUUUGGUAACUCUCAAGGUAUUUUA
Molecule: long non-coding RNA, 850 nt
Filed under: Sus scrofa (pig)
Lineage: Eukaryota; Metazoa; Chordata; Mammalia; Artiodactyla; Suidae
Description: lncRNA (ENSSSCG00060074497.1)
Source: RNAcentral